UUCUAGCAAAAGGAGGCGCGGCGCACAGCUCAGUAGCACGUGGCUAACCUGCCCUUGGGAUAGGAACAACCCCGGGAAACUGGGGCUAAUUCCCAAUAGGUGAAGAACUCUGGAAUGAGUCUUCGCCAGAAAGGACUCCUACACUAUGCUUGUAGGUUUCGCCCAAGGAUGGGGCCGCGACCGAUCAGGUUGUUGGCGAGGUAAUGGCUCACCAAGCCUUUUACCGGUGCGGGCCGUGGGAGCGGAAGCCCGGAGAUGGGUACUGAGACAAGGACCCAGGCCCUACGGGGCGCAGCAGUCGCGAAAACUUUGCAAUACACGCAAGUGUGACAGGGCUAUCCCGAGUGCCAUCCGCUGAGGAAGGCUUUUACCCAGUCUAGAAAGCUGGGGGAAUAAGGAGAGGGCAAGUCUGGUGUCAGCCGCCGCGGUAAUACCAGCUCUCCGAGUGGCGUGGAUGUUUAUUGGGCCUAAAGCAUCCGUAGCUGGCUAUGUUAGUCCCCUGUUAAAUCCACCGAAUUAAUCGUUGGAUUGCGGGGGAUACUGCUUGGCUAGGGGACGAGAGAGGCAGACGGUAUUUUCGGGGUAGGGGUGAAAUCCUAUAAUCCCGGGAAGACCACCAGUGGCGAAGGCUGUCUGCUAGAACGCGCCCGACGGUGAGGGAUGAAAGCUGGGGGGAGCGAACCGGAUUAGAUACCCGGUAGUCCCAGCUGUAAACGAUGCAGCUAGUGUUGGACGGCCACGUGCCGUCUAGUGCGCAGGGAAGCUGUAAGCCUGCGCCUGGGAGUACGAUCGCAGAUGAACUAAGGAAUGGCGGGGGAGCACACAGGGUGAGCUGCGUU
This 839-nucleotide ribosomal RNA is filed under the name uncultured archaeon. Its description in RNAcentral is "bacterial SSU rRNA". It matches the Rfam family "Archaeal small subunit ribosomal RNA", at positions 66 to 897 of the family's 1478-position model. The record is from RNAcentral.